This is a long non-coding RNA of Ictalurus punctatus (channel catfish), 592 nucleotides long. NCBI's taxonomy places the organism in Eukaryota, Metazoa, Chordata, Actinopteri, Siluriformes, Ictaluridae. The record is from Ensembl.
GUGUGUGUGAGAGUGUAUGUGUGUGUGAGAGAGAGAGUGAGAGUGUUGAUAGUGUGUGUGUGUGUGUGAGAGAGAGAGAGUGAGAGUGUAUAUGUGUGUGUGAGAGAGAGAGAGUGAGAGUGUAUGUGUUAGUGAGAGUGUAUGUGUGUGUGUGUGUGUGUGUGUGUGUGUGUGACUUUUUGAAACACAUUCCUACUUAGGCUCAGUUCUGGUCCACACUUUUGACCACUUGACGUGUGUGUGUGUGUGUGUGUGUGUGUGUGUGUGUGUGUGUGUGAACUCUUACAGUAAGUAAACACUAGAGUGUGAUUAUUGCCUCAUACACACUCUUCAGACACACCAUUAAUCGCCAUUUCCAAUAUUUGUAACCCGUAAGCAGGAAGAAACCAGAUGCUGCUUACACACACACACACACACACACACACACACACACACACACACACACACACUAACUAUGAAAUAACUGGAAAAAAAGUUCUACUUUCUCUUCAGACUUUUUCUUUAAGUGUCAUGCUACAUUUUAUCUUUUUUUUUUUUUCCUCCUUCUUCUUCUUUUGUGGCUUUCUCUAAACCCGUGUGAAAGCUUCGUGUC